UCGAGGAAUAGAGGCCACAGGGGUGGGCA
Molecule: small RNA, 29 nt
Filed under: Bombyx mori (domestic silkworm)
Lineage: Eukaryota; Metazoa; Arthropoda; Insecta; Lepidoptera; Bombycidae
Description: ovarian small RNA-28384
Source: RNAcentral